AAAAGACCUAUAUAUACAAAAAAAGUUACAGCGGCUCAUUUUGUGCUGGAAAUUGAGGGGGUGCCCAUCCGUUGGGCAAGGGGAUUGUUUGGAGAACUAAUGUUGAGUGAAGAGCAGAACCAAGAGAAUGUCACGGUACAGCAAAAUUAGUGGAAGAGUAAACAUGAAUGGCUAAGCUCUUCGGAGUUCCAGGAAAAUUCAGAUCAACUGUGAAGGACUUCGGAAGGAAAAUGCUAUCUAUCUCCAGAGAAAAAAUGGAUAUAUGGAAGUCACUGCAGUAUGCUAUCCAGCCACCGCUAGGAGAACAAGAGAGAUCAGGAAGGACUACUUGAAGGAGCAG
Long non-coding RNA from Antechinus flavipes (yellow-footed antechinus), 340 nucleotides. RefSeq lists it as uncharacterized. NCBI's taxonomy places the organism in Eukaryota, Metazoa, Chordata, Mammalia, Dasyuromorphia, Dasyuridae. The record is from RefSeq and is a predicted model, not a curated record. The transcript is spliced from 3 exons.